GACGAACGCUGGCGGCGUGCUUAACACAUGCAAGUCGAACGGAAAGGCCCUGCUUUUGUGGGGUGCUCGAGUGGCGAACGGGUGAGUAACACGUGAGUAACCUGCCCUUGACUUUGGGAUAACUUCAGGAAACUGGGGCUAAUACCGGAUAGGAGCUCCUGCUGCAUGGUGGGGGUUGGAAGGUUUCGGCGGUUGGGGAUGGACUCGCGGCUUAUCAGCUUGUUGGUGGGGUAGUGGCUUACCAAGGCUUUGACGGGUAGCCGGCCUGAGAGGGUGACCGGCCACACUGGGACUGAGAUACGGCCCAGACUCCUCUGGGAGGCAGCAGUGGGGAAUAUUGUACAAUGGGAGGAAGCCUGAUGCAGCAACGCCGCGUGGGGGAUGACGGCAUUCGGGUUGUAAACCGCUUUCGCCUGUGACGAAGCGUGAGUGACGGUAAUGGGUAAAGAAGCACCGGCUAACUACGUG
This 468-nucleotide ribosomal RNA is filed under the name uncultured bacterium. RNAcentral's name for it is "partial 16S ribosomal RNA". It matches the Rfam family "Bacterial small subunit ribosomal RNA", at positions 28 to 507 of the family's 1533-position model. The record is from RNAcentral.